This is a non-coding RNA of Chelonoidis abingdonii (Abingdon island giant tortoise), 6536 nucleotides long. The record is from RefSeq and is a predicted model, not a curated record. NCBI's taxonomy places the organism in Eukaryota, Metazoa, Chordata, Testudines, Testudinidae.
AUAACAACGGACACAGAACAGAUCCUUGUGGAACCCUAAUGUGUUAUUUUUCUGGCAGCAAAGUGCCCAUCAUCAGCUAUCCAGGGACAGUGUCACCAGUGCUAUGGGAAUUGGAGAGUUCUGAGGGAAUACUGCCUCAAAAACGCUCUUACUUCAUACAAAAUAUAACUCAAAUGUUGUUUGCAAAAGAGCUGUCUUGAUGGGAAUUGUGGGCGGAAGGUAUCUUUCCCCAGAAAUUGCAAAAAAUGAAGCAUCUCCUUUGUCAAGCAGAUUUCUUUGCUGCCCAGAUACUGAUAUGGUCUGUGUCUCUUGUUUCCAAGCUUUCCAAACUACUGAAUACUCAUCUCCUACCGUUUGGAUCUGGGAGCCAUGCCUUGAGUCCUGAAGCUCCACUCUCCGAGGAUAGCGGGAAGCUCAGCCCAGCUUUCAAGUGUCACUGUGGCUGACUGCAGGGAGGGAGGAGUUGCCAGCUAGUCCAGCAAGGCUGCCUGAGCUCUUGCAGGGGCUGCCAGGAUGCAAUCCGAUGUUUAGAGCUCCAGCUCCUGUGCUGCUUUCCUUUGUGUCUACCCCGGGGAGGGGAAGUGCAAACAGACCGCUUCCUCUUGGAGGGCUUUCAAGCGGCUCCAAGGGAAGCACGUUAAUUUGCAGAGCACCAGGGAAUGUGGAGUGAGGGAUUCUCCCUCUGACAAUGAGGAUCCAUGUUCUCAAAGUUCACUGAGCACCUGGAAGUGGCAAAGACUGGAGACCACAUGGAAGAAACGAAUGCAGAAGGGAUUUCUCCCUGCAACGGCUGUAACAGGAUUGUACAGUGCUGUGGAUAUGGUGACACAGAGGGGUGUGUGGAUCUGCCUUUUCCUCCCAUUUCUUCUGCUUGAUAUUUGAUCUCGGUCCUUCGGGGGCUGCUGGUUUAUGGUGGUAAUAGGCACUGAAUAUUCACUGGUGUUUAUCUCUUCCAUUGGGCAGCUUUGAAUGAUCUCUGUGGGGAGGACACAGCAGCCAUAGACAGCUUUCUGGAACAACCUGUCGGUUCCGGUGCUGGGAGGAGCUGCUUGGAAUGAGGGCAGCUGCAGCUAAGUCAUCAGUACAUUUUCCCCUUGUUUACCCCCCCACGGCCUUGCUUCAUGAACACAGGAGGCAAAAGGGAGGACGUUAGCCAAGUAAUUAGCCUCCAAGCAUGGACUUGGUGGCAGACAAAAUAACUUUGUAAUAAUUCCCACCGUGAGUGUGCCUGAGAAUCCGUCCAGCCUUCCUCUGUACUAUGAAUUGCUGGGGUGUAAAGGCUCAAGUGGGGUGGCACCCCACUAACUUAAUACAGGAUUGAACAGUAGUGCUGCUCUGGGGAGAGACACAGAUUUCCCAACUUAACCUCCCAAGCCUUCUGUCUGCUCCCAAAGAGCAGUGUGGACAGAGAACUGACUGGGCUAGCUCAGACCUUUGAGGUGACUGUCUGGAUAGCUAUAUCUCCAUGGCUCUUAAUUUAAUUGUCUACCUUUACCUUUGAAUCCACUCAGGCAGAGCCGAGAGGGCAUUGUACGGGUAUCUUUGGCCCUCCUAUGAAAAGGUGUGCAGGUGAAAAGAGGCUGCAAAGAUCCUAAACCCAAUGAAUGAAGAGUCUGUUGCUGCUGCUCGUUGUCCCUGCGUGGCCGUUUGCUGGGCUGAGGGGGUAGGAGCGAGAGCCUCUCUCACCAAUGGUACAGUGCAUGUUACUUGUUUGCUGGUUUGCAUGGUGAGUGUUUUUUCUGGAAAGAUUGCUGACUCCCAACUCAUGGGAAAGACCCUAGGUGUUUGAGGCCUGGGAAGACCAUCAAACCACUCAGGGAGAAACGAGAGAGGGGGGUGGUUAUGGAGCAGAACUCUCUAUCUCCAAAAGGGGUGGCAGAGCCCCAGAAAGCAGCCAGGAUCCAGGUAUAAGACAAGUUUGUACCAUUCAUGUUCUCUGAGGCUGUGGCCUGGCGACAGACCAUUUGAAGUGGUGCAGGUGAUGCCCUCUGGAGGCAGGGAUCCUCACGCCUCUCUUCUAUACACGCCUGGGCUUUCUUCCCAGUGCCUUGGGGCUCCUGUGUCUGGAAUCGAGACCUCAACGAGGAGCAGUCUGUGUUCCCUUCCCUGCAGCAGCCAUGGCGGAGCACCUGGAGCUGCUGGCUGAGAUGCCAGCAGUGGCCAGGAUGAGCACCCAGGAGCGGCUGAAACAUGCACAGAAGCGCCGGACGCAGCAGCUGAAGAAAUGGGCACAGUUUGAAAAGGAGGCUCACGGCAAGAAGGCUAGAGCAGAAAAGAGAAAGAAAAACAGCAGCAAGGAGAAGCGAGUGCUGUUUCCGGAGAGCAUCAAGCUGCUGGAGGCAGCAUCUCGCAAUGAUGUGGAGGAAGUUCGCCAGUUCCUUCAGCGUGGCAUCAGCCCCAAUUUGUACAAUGAAGAUGGCCUCACUGCAUUGCACCAGUGCUGCAUCGACAACUUUGGGGACGUGGUUGCGCUGCUGCUGGAGGCCGGCGCGGAUGUCAAUGCCUGUGACAGUGAGCUGUGGACGCCGCUGCAUGCCGCCGCCACCUGCGGGCACCUGCACCUGGUGGAGCUGCUGAUUAACCAUGGUGCCAAUCUCCUGGCAGUUAAUGCAGAUGGGAACAUGCCGUAUGACCUCUGCGAGGACGAGGUGACACUGGACUACAUUGAAACGGCCAUGGCAGACCAGGGAAUAACUCAGGAGAAGAUUGAGGAGGCCCGAGCCGCCACGGAGAACAGCAUGGUGGAAGAUAUCCGGAAGCUGCUUCAGGCAGGUGCCGAUCUGAACACUCCACUUGACCAUAGUGCCACUCUGCUGCACAUUGCCUCAGCAAAUGGCUACCUGGAAGCUGCCGAGCUGCUGCUGGAACACAAGGCCAGCAUGAGCGCGAAGGACAAUGAUGGGUGGGAGCCUCUUCACGCCGCCGCCUGCUGGGGGCAGAUCCAUCUGGUGGAGCUGCUGGUGGCCCAUGGAGCUGAUCUCAAUAGCAAGUCUGUGCUGGACGAGACGCCCUUGGACGUGUGUGGUGACGAGGAGGUCCGGGCCAAGCUGCUGGAGCUGAAGCACAAGCAUGAUGCCAUCAUGAAGUCUCACGACAAGCACAAGUCGCUGCUGCAGCGACGCACCUCCAGCGCUGGCAGCCGAGGGAAGGUGGUGCGGCGGGUCAGCGUGACGGAGCGCACCAACCUCUAUCGCAAGGAGCAUGAGAAAGAGGCCAUUGUUUGGCAGCAGGUGGAGCACCGGGAGAACGAGGCCGAGCUUGAGGAUGAGGACAAGCAGACGGACGCUGAGCUCCAGCAGCACCUCCCUCAGGGCGCUGAAGCAGAAGUGGCAGGUCCAGGGGCCUUGGUGGGAGACAAGCAUCAGAAUCCGGGGCUGACCCAGAGAAAUGGAACUGCGGGCUCCUCUGCCCCCAGCCCCCCUAAACACCUCUACUCCAAGAGGCUGGACCGCAGCGUCUCCUACCAGCUGGCCACGCAAGAGGAGGUGUUGGCCGACCUGUGCAAGGAGAAGUCCCACCACACGCUAGCAGACCUCAAACGCCAGCGGGCAGCUGCCAAGCUCCAGCGACACCACCCACAGGACUACCCUCCCACCGAGGGUGAGGGCCCCCUCUCGCCUGGCCUCGCUGAGACCCUGCACAGCAGCAGUUACCCCCGCUCGGACCUGGAGCAGAAUUCCGUGUAUUGCACGGCAGCCAGUGGCGAUCCGCCUCUUCUGAAGCUGACAGCCCCGGCUGAGGAGACCCCUGCUGAGAAGAAGCGAUGCUGUAAGCUGAUGUGAGGUGCUGGCAAGAGAAGAUGUUCAUGGGGCACGUCCCCUCCCUGGCAUUGAUGGAUGGCGCUAAUGUCCCAUGGGGCUGCCUCUGCAACCCUGCAGAAGGAUGGGUUCUGGGAGGUGGUUUAUCUUCCAGGGACUCAUCCAUCUUCCAGACCCAGACAUCAAUCAGAGAGGUCGGGCUCCAAGUGCCCAUUGAGGGCUGCAUGGGUAGCAGGCUGGGAGCCAGAGGGCUGCACAAAUGGGAGCAGAAUGCAAUGACCUUCGUUGUCAGUACAGAGAUGUGUCCUGGAGCAUCUACAGCUCCCAGCAUGCAAUUUGCAAGCCCUUGCUUGGGUCAACCUGUAGAGCAUUGCAUGCUGGGACAUGUAGUCUCAGAGAGCUGGAUCUCUGUUGGACAUAGUGGUGUUGAAUGUUGUGUAAGACAUGCUGGGCCGCGUUUGGUCAGCUGGAGAGGCCCUCCAGGGGCGGCUGUUUGUCUGGGGUCUGUGUGUGGUUUCUAGGAAGGAAUGGAAAGCCUUUGGGAGCCCUCAGAGCACGGGGUACCAUGCAUACAGCACUGGGGGGCGAGGGGACGUCCCCAUGCCUGCCUGACACUAAAGCAAAUGGCAAUGAGGUGAGAACGGUUCUCUUGAUACAGAGUUGUAGCCCGGCAGUCCCCUCCUAGGCCUGGGCUGCACACAAGCUGUCCUGGGUUAACUAAUAUGCAUUUCAGACAAGCUGGAAAGCCGUGUAGGUCCCAGGCACGCCCGUUCGUGGUGGUUUACAACUGGCUUAUAUCCUACUCGCUGGCUUGGAGUCACUAAAGGCAGUGCUGGACUGCGCUUGGCCGUGCGCUGGGACAGGGUCAUCGGCUGUCAUUCCCAUCUUUUCUCCCAGCAGGGUUAAACUGACUCUGAAUUCAGCACGGCCCCAAACAGCCUUGCACCGAAACAGCCAAAGGUGCUGGCAGACGCUGAGUUCACCACUUCGGUGCCAGUCUGAGUGUGGGUCCACCCCAAACAACAGGGACAGAAGCUUGUUGUAAACCAGGAUGUGUCCACAUUGCACUGUUUGUUCAACUAUAUUAAUCUGAACUCCUGUGCCCUGUAUGGUGCGCCAUGCCAUGGUGCCCUGUGCCCUCCCCCCCAGAAGACACCUGGUGUGGGCUCUGUGCCCAGACCCUUGUGAGCUCCUGCCCUCAGCAAUAAAAUCGCUUCAGCAAAGUACCUCAGCCCAGGACCAACCACAGCCCGUGGAUGGAUUUGUGCACCUGUUGUGCUGACAGCUCUCCCAAUGAAACGCAGCCUGCGAGUGGGACGGGGGAGCUGGUUUCUGGCCCCUCAGUCCAUCUGCUGGGGGGAGCUGUGGGGGGCUGAUUAAUCAGUAAUGAUCUUUAGCCAUCCCUGGGGCCUCGGAGCAGCGCCCUAAAUGGGAGCAGCCUUGGACAGCAUCCCCCUGCUCCCCAUUGCUUACGCGGGGCUCGAACAGGGCAUGCCAAUGGCACUCUUCUCAUCUCCUGUUCUCUGCAGAGAGGCCAGCUCACUGUGUGUCCCCUCCCUGCGCAGGUCGGACAUGGGUUUUUUUUUAUCAUCCCGCUGCAUGGGGCUCCAAGGAGCCUUGUGUUGAGCCCCACACCUCCACCCAAGGGCAGCAUUGGCAGCUUCUCAGGUGUCCGAGGGCUACCCCAGCUUCACGCCCUUGUUACCCUCAGGGGUCCAGUCCCAGUGUGCCAAGUCCCAUGUGAGCUCAGCAAAAGCCCCUUUGGCCUACUGUGGAGGAUGGCUUGCUGGAACUCGGAGGGCUGUCCCUCUCUGUUGAUGAUUGGGGGCUGUGGCAGACUUCUGCUGAGCAUGGGGCCUCAGGCUCCAUCUUCUCAGCCUGCCAGGUGUUGCUGAGGCACCAGGCUGUACGAUUAGAACUUCAGGAGGCAGGGAGUGGAAGUGGAAGAGCUUCAGCUAGAAACAUUCUCGCCUUUCAGCCACAAUAAGGAACACACUGCUCCCUGGGAUCCAGCCGGCUGGAGGUGGACGUCCCUCUGGUGGGUGGCUCUCGUGGUUUGCAAUAUCUCAUCCCCUAGAUGGGGUUGUCACCCACUCACUUAUUUCUCUCUGCGCCAUUGCAUCCAGCCGUGGCUGUUCAGACCCACGCGCUAGGCCUGUUGUCCCUCUGUUCUUCACCACCCCUCAGGGGCUGAGAAACAUCAGCCAGCCCCAUCUCACCAGCCGAAGAUCAGUCCUUGCAUGAGUGCCGGAGCAGCAGAACCCAGUGCUGCUCACUGGCUGGGGGAAAUCAGGUGACCUUCAACCCCACCUGUGAAUCCUCUGGGGAACCCCCUUAAGCUCUGACCCUCCAGCUUGAAGAGCGCAGCUCUAGGCUGAACUUGUAUUGACCUUGGGGCCAGUGAAUCUUCCCUUCUGCAAUGGUUCUGCUCUGAGAGCCUCCUGCCUGCCUUGGGAGAUACAACUGCAGGGAGCUCUGGGCCUUGUGCUCGCCAGCGAGGGCGGCUGCUGUAAAAUCCCCUGCCAGGACUGGACUCUCCAUGGUGCAUUUGUGCAGUGUUGCUGCACGCGUUUUGUAUGGAGCACUCUCCUUUGGACCACAGUAUUUCCACGGAAUCCUGUAGCGCUGGUUCCAGCCCCUCGAGCCGCUGAGCCGCUGGGGUGGGAGGCACUGAUUUUAUACUUGGACACCCACUUCCUGGCUCUCACCAGGUUUUGAUUUGUAGCUCCUGUUGUCUCUUUAUUUCCUUUCCACAAUAAACCAGCAUUGGACAAUGAA